This 253-nucleotide ribosomal RNA is filed under the name uncultured bacterium. RNAcentral describes it as "partial 16S ribosomal RNA". It matches the Rfam family "Bacterial small subunit ribosomal RNA", at positions 524 to 776 of the family's 1533-position model. The record is from RNAcentral.
UACGGGGGGGGCAAGCGUUGUUCGGAAUUACUGGGCGUAAAGGGCGCGUAGGCGGCCUUCUAAGUCAGACGUGAAAUCCCCGGGCUCAACCCGGGAACUGCGUCUGAUACUGGAAGGCUUGAAUCCGGGAGAGGGAUGCGGAAUUCCAGGUGUAGCGGUGAAAUGCGUAGAUAUCUGGAGGAACACCGGUGGCGAAGGCGGCAUCCUGGACCGGCAUUGACGCUGAGGCGCGAAAGCCAGGGGAGCAAACGGG